UUUGAGAUUGAGCUUGAAACCUUCAUCUACAUCUAGUAAUUUAGUACUUGUUAUACUUGUUCUUGCUAGUUCUUUGAUCGCUUGCAGGACGAGUGGCCUAGCGGCCGGGUGAUGCACUCCACAAGAUCGUGGCAGCCAUUGGAGGUGGUGUAUCGGUUGCUAAGGCACAGCAUCCUUAGAAGGGUGUAGUCGGGCCAUGAAUGUCAUCUCUAUCCACUAAUCGAGUUAUCCCAUGCCUCUCAUCGAAAGAUCGGGAAUAAACCCUAGCGGGUUCAUAUCAC
RNAcentral lists this long non-coding RNA (281 nucleotides) under Setaria viridis. Its description in RNAcentral is "long non-coding RNA (SVIR_LNC001765)". The record is from RNAcentral. Lineage: Eukaryota; Viridiplantae; Streptophyta; Magnoliopsida; Poales; Poaceae.